This 332-nucleotide unclassified non-coding RNA is filed under the name soil metagenome. Its description in RNAcentral is "partial contains 5.8S ribosomal RNA, internal transcribed spacer 2, and large subunit ribosomal RNA". The stretch from base 1 to 120 matches the Rfam family "5.8S ribosomal RNA", at positions 35 to 154 of the family's 154-position model. The record is from RNAcentral.
GAUGAAGAACGUAGCGAAAUGCGAUAAGUAGUGUGAAUUGCAGAAUUCAGUGAAUCAUCGAAUCUUUGAACGCACAUUGCGCCCUUUGGUAUUCCUUAGGGCAUGCCUGUUCGAGCGUCAUUUAAACCUUCAAGCUAAGCUUGGUGUUGGGUGACUGUCCGCUUCACGGCGGACUCGCCUCAAAAUUAUUGGCGGCCGGUACAUUGGCUUCGAGCGCAGCAGAAACGCGAACUCGGGCCCGUCGUAUUGGCUCCCAGAAGCUAUCUUCACAAUUUUGACCUCGGAUCAGGUAGGGAUACCCGCUGAACUUAAGCAUACCAAUAAGCGGAGGA